This 49-nucleotide ribosomal RNA is filed under the name Trithemis hecate. Its description in RNAcentral is "partial 16S ribosomal RNA". The record is from RNAcentral. Lineage: Eukaryota; Metazoa; Arthropoda; Insecta; Odonata; Libellulidae.
CGAAAGGACCAUAGUUAAAUAAUAUUUAUUUUUUAUUGAUUAAUAUUAA